UCCUUUUGAGUAUUUUGAUGAAAGGUAGGGCCUGCCCGGUGCAAUAAGCGUCAACGGCCGCGGUAAUAUGACCGUGCGAAGGUAGCAUAAUCAUUAGUUUUUUAAUUGGGGGCUGGAAUGAAAGGUUGAACAUAGGAAGGGCUGUCUUAAGUUGCGGUGUGAAGUUAAGUUUUCUGUGAAGACGCAGAAUUGUCUCUAUUAGACGAGAAGACCCUAUUAAGCUUUACCCUCUUAAUGGAUUUAUUUAGCAUUAGCAGGGUUUUGUUGGGGCGACAGAAUAGAGGAGAAUCUUUUUUGUGGGGGAGAUUUGUUGAAAAAAUGUUAUUUGACCCAUGGUUUAUGGGAGAAGGAAAAAGUUACUGUAGGGAUAACAGCGUAAUCACAUUGGAGAGUUCAAAUUGAUGAUGUGGGUUGCGACCUCGAUGUUGAAUUAGAAUUCCUAGGGGCUGCAGGAAGCUCAUAAGGGGG
This 468-nucleotide ribosomal RNA is filed under the name Pectiniunguis argentinensis. RNAcentral's name for it is "partial 16S ribosomal RNA". It matches the Rfam family "Bacterial large subunit ribosomal RNA", at positions 1818 to 2573 of the family's 2925-position model. The record is from RNAcentral. Lineage: Eukaryota; Metazoa; Arthropoda; Chilopoda; Geophilomorpha; Schendylidae.